This is a long non-coding RNA of Odocoileus virginianus texanus, 374 nucleotides long. RefSeq lists it as uncharacterized. NCBI's taxonomy places the organism in Eukaryota, Metazoa, Chordata, Mammalia, Artiodactyla, Cervidae. The record is from RefSeq and is a predicted model, not a curated record.
ACCCGUACCGUCAAUCUUUCAGAAAACUCAUCACUGAGUGGAGUUCAGUGGUCGCCGACUCCUCGUGGCACCGCCCUAGAGCUCUCAGAAGGUUUCUGAGUUGACGGUUGCCCCCUCCCCCUGGCCUCCCACCCAGGUGUCUGUCAAGGUCGCUGUAAACCAAUCUCGUCCAUAUGGCUCUAGAAUAAAACGAAACGCUGUUAUACAGAAUAUCUGCGAAGGGUGAAGAAGGGGUGAAAAGCAAAAUGAUCAGAGUGAACCUGGCAAUUUAGCACACAAACAAGAAACUCCAACUGGAAAACUCAGUCUCUAAAAUGAAAGUAUUUUUAUGUAUUUAAAAGGAAAUAUUAAAAAUACGAUAUGCUUUUUAUUCA